GACAUAGGUGGCGAACGUUAUCCGGAAUUAUUGGGCGUAAAGGGCGCGUAGGCGGCCUGGCAAGUGGAAGGUGAAAUCCCUCGGCUUAACCGAGGAACUGCCCUCCAAACUGCUUGGCUUGAGUCCGGGAGAGGUGAGUGGAAUUCCCAGUGUAGCGGUGAAAUGCGUAGAUAUUGGGAGGAACACCAGUGGCGAAGGCGGCUCACUGGACCGGAACUGACGCUGAUGCGCGAAAGCGUGGGGAGCAAACGGG
Molecule: ribosomal RNA, 253 nt
Filed under: uncultured bacterium
Lineage: Bacteria
Description: partial 16S ribosomal RNA
Rfam family: Bacterial small subunit ribosomal RNA
Source: RNAcentral